GGGCCCGUAGCUCAGCUUGGACAGAGCAGCACCGUCCUAAGGUGAUGGUCGCGGGUUCAAAUCCCGCCGGGCCCG
Molecule: transfer RNA, 75 nt
Filed under: Microcaldota archaeon
Lineage: Archaea; Nanobdellati; Microcaldota
Also listed under: 1 other name
Description: tRNA-Arg
Rfam family: tRNA
About the family: Transfer RNA (tRNA) molecules are approximately 80 nucleotides in length. Their secondary structure includes four short double-helical elements and three loops (D, anti-codon, and T loops).
Source: RNAcentral